AUCCGACGAUGAGUUCGAUGACACCGAUGAAGAGCUAUAAGCCUAUAAUAUCUUCAGAAGUGCCAGGCAAGCAAAACCCCCUUGUUCAUUCCGAUACAAUCCUACUCUCUCGCUCCUGCUCUCUUUUACUGCAUUAGGACAACAACGUUACAACUGUUACAUGCUGCGGUAGCUGAACCCCUUUCCUCUGUAUGACCUGUCAUUGCCACAGUAAAUAGAUGAAACCCACUAGCAUGAGUAUGAGUUGUUUGAGCCCUGAUGUGCCUACUCAUUCAUGUUUGUUUGUCAUGCCUGCUACUGCUUAGAGUUGAGUCAGGUCUGAUUCAUCGGGGAUGAAUUGGAAUGUGGUGAACAUGUCCUACUGUUGAGAGCUAAGUGUGUGAACACGAUUUUGUAAAGGUAGUGGUGAGAGGCCAUGUAGGAGUACAUGGUGGGUUGUCUCAUUGUAGUCGUCCUCAGGAACUGAGUUCUGUGUUUGUGAUCCAUGAACAGCUACUACCACGCAUUGGAAUGCUUAAGUGCCCCUCUCGACUUAUUAAUCAACCUGAUCUUUGUCCAGGAGUUGCAACUAGUUUUUGGUGUUUGUAGGUAGUGCUAGUAGUCUACCAAGUGGCACCCGGUACAGGUGGGCUUGGGACAGACUAGGCACAGUGGCACGGUGUACCAAGUGGCACCCGGAUGGUGGGCUUGGGAACCCUGCUCACAUCGUUUGGGGCCGUGAGCGACACCCCGGCCGGAUCUCCUUGCGGAUGGAACCCGAAUAGGCGGUAGACCUGGACUAGAGACUUGUUGGUUAGUCAGGUCCUGGCCGACUCCCUCGCCGGGCUUCCGCUUGAAGGUUGCCGAGAUACACGAUGUGUACAUGAUGGUAAGUGGCGAGAGCGUGUGUGAAGAAGUACACCCCUGCAGGGUUAUCAUUAUCUAUUCAAAUAGCCGGAUUCCUCGGAUAUGGAAACUUGGACCCCUUGCAUAGUUCAUAGACAAGUGAAAGUGGAUACUCUAAAAUGCGCAAGAUAAGUGUGAGUGCUAUGGAUGGUGUUCUCGCAGGGAGACGGGAGCGGAUCCAUAAUGGAGUAUUGAUAUGGUGAAUAUGUGGACUCGUGUGCGCCACCGCAAAAGAGUUACUUGCAGUCGUAGUUCAGGAUAGCCACCGAGUCAAAGCUGGCUUGCUGCAGUUAAACCCCACCAUCCCUUUGUUGAUAAUGAUGCAUAUGUAGUUAGUUCUGAUGUAAGUCUUGCUGAGUACAUUUGUACUCACGUUUGCUUAAUUUAUGUUUUGCAGAGAGACUUCAGUCUCGCUUGUAGUUCCGUGUGGACUUCGACGUUUAGCUUGUUACCCCAGCUACGAUCUUGUAUCCUUGGGAGGGUCUUGUAGAUAGUCAGGCUGCUUGUAUGCGAUGUAUGUUGGGUCAUGAGACCCAUGCUUGUAAUAUCUCUCUCCUUGGAGCCUAAUGAAUAAAUACUCUGAAUCGUAGAGUCUUGUUGUGAUGCCAUGUUGUAUUGCACAUAUUGAGCAUAUUGUGUGUAUGAUUGAAAUGCUUGGUAUGUGUG
Molecule: long non-coding RNA, 1551 nt
Filed under: Triticum aestivum (bread wheat)
Lineage: Eukaryota; Viridiplantae; Streptophyta; Magnoliopsida; Poales; Poaceae
Description: long non-coding RNA (TAES_LNC001413)
Source: RNAcentral